UACGGAGGGUGCGAGCGUUAAUCGGAAUUACUGGGCGUAAAGCGCACGUCGGCGGUUUGGUAAGUCGGAUGUGAAAGCCCUGGGCUUAACCUAGGAAUUGCAUUCGAUACUGCCUGACUAGAGUAUGGUAGAGGGAAGUGGAAUUUCCGGUGUAGCGGUGAAAUGCGUAGAUAUCGGAAGGAACACCAGUGGCGAAGGCGACUUCCUGGGCCAAUACUGACGCUGAGGUGCGAAAGCGUGGGGAGCAAAUAGG
This 253-nucleotide ribosomal RNA is filed under the name uncultured bacterium. RNAcentral's name for it is "partial 16S ribosomal RNA". It matches the Rfam family "Bacterial small subunit ribosomal RNA", at positions 524 to 776 of the family's 1533-position model. The record is from RNAcentral.